GACGGGACCGCACAAGCGGUGGAUGAUGUGGAUUAAUUCGAUGCAACGCGAAAACCUUACCUACCCUUGACAUGUCCGGAAUCCCGAAGAGAUUUGGGAGUGCUCGCAAGAGAACCGGAACACAGGUGCUGCAUGGCUGUCGUCAGCUCGUGUCGUGAGAUGUUGGGUUAAGUCCCGCAACCGAGCGCAACCCUUGUCAUUAGUUGCCAUCAUUUGGUUGGGCACUCUAAUGAGACUGCCGGUGACAAACCGGAGGAAGGUGGGGAUGACGUCAAGUCCUCAUGGCCCUUAUGGGUAGGGCUUCACACGUCAUACAAUGGUCGGUACAGAGGGUUGCCAACCCGCGAGGGGGAGCUAAUCCCACAAAGCCGAUCGUAGUCCGGAUCGCAGUCUGCAACUCGACUGCGUGAAGUCGGAAUCGCUAGUAAUCGUGGAUCAGCAUGUCACGGUGAAUACGUUCCCGGGUCUU
This 469-nucleotide ribosomal RNA is filed under the name uncultured Rhodocyclaceae bacterium. Its description in RNAcentral is "bacterial SSU rRNA". It matches the Rfam family "Bacterial small subunit ribosomal RNA", at positions 917 to 1381 of the family's 1533-position model. The record is from RNAcentral. Lineage: Bacteria; Pseudomonadati; Pseudomonadota; Betaproteobacteria; Rhodocyclales; Rhodocyclaceae.